This is a non-coding RNA of Lolium perenne, 3234 nucleotides long. The record is from RefSeq and is a predicted model, not a curated record. NCBI's taxonomy places the organism in Eukaryota, Viridiplantae, Streptophyta, Magnoliopsida, Poales, Poaceae.
AGAGGGGAAAGUUCUUCGUUUGAAGCAACAAUAUACAUUAUGCUCGGUCUCAUUGCAGGACAUUAUUUCUCAUUUUUAGACAAGAGUUAGUGAUCCUCUAACUGGGAGGACUUUCCCUCUUAAGUUGCAGUUCAGAUGAGUGACACUCACCCAAAGUUGAAGUCUGCGGCUCAGUUUAGCCCAUGGCUUUGACGGAGCUUUGCUGAUGACCUUGCUGAAUAUCUGAAUGAAGUUCGUUUUACUGGCUUUCUCUUUCAUUUUGUCGGCCCUCUCCUUCAAAAGGUCUGUUUGUCAGAAGAUUUCAGUAGAACAUUGCUCCGUCGUGCCUGCAAUAUCCUAAGAGACAUGUGGUUAGAACAGGGCAAGAUGUAUUGUCUCCAGGAAUAGGGCAUUUACGUGAGAAUUCUUGUGCCUCUAUUGUUUAUUUCUCAAUGUUGUUGCCAUAUGACAUCCCCACAGUUUACUGACCCCUUGAAGAAUUAUUAAGGAAUUAUGUUGUAUGUGAGUAGUGAAAGAUAAUCCAGUACUUCUCUCAUUUUAUGCUCUUUUGGUUCUUAUACAUUUCUUAUUUUUUGCUCCAGCUUGCUGCACCGCUUGGUCUGUAUGGCAUGUGAAUCAAUUAAUUUGUUCCUUUUAGGAGUUGAUGUAGAAUUGGUUUGAUGUUUUCUUUUAGUAAAGAUAGUUGUUCAUUCCAAAUAUCAGGUUGUCAUAUUGAGAUCAUGAUUGGACUGCCACUGUCCGGCAAGGAGGUGCCUCAUGGGGCGCCCCAACCACUAGUGAUUAUAAAAGCCAAUGUCAGAAAGUAUUGUGCCGUGGUGGUUGUCUGAUUUAGAUAUGCUUACUUGCAAUUCUUUUGAUGCUUAUUUGUACUUUUAUUUCUGUGGCAGCAAGUAAUAAUCUUACAUAUCGAUUAUUCUACUAUGCAUAUUUUGUUGAAUCUAUCUUGAGUUUGUUUCAUAUCUGCUGAAAAACAAUUUGUCACACCAUCAGUCUCAUGCAAAUAAAAAGAGCCUGUAAUGAAGAACAAAAAGCGUUCUCAUAUUGUUCAUUUGUAGAUGUAUGAAAAAUAACCGAGCUUUGGUCAGUCACAUGCAACCUCAUAUAUGAUGUUGCGCUUUUACCGAAUUACUAAGAAUUCAUUGGUUUCUGAUUAUAAUAUGCACUUUCCUACUGAACUUUUGUAAAUAUCGCCACUAUUGUUUCAAUACUGCAUACAUGUUUGUGUGUCCAUCAUUACAUUGCAUAGAUGAAAUUCAGUUUAUUUCAAACUCAAUAUUUUGAAUGCACUAACCCCGUCGUUGUAUAAACUGCAUUCAUUUCAGUGCAGGCAUGACUUCCCACUAUGAUAUGUACAAAAGUUCAAGGGAGCACUAAGCCAACUAUUUGACAGCGAGGAAUAAUGUUACCCUGCACCAACGGACCCUACUGUCGAGGAGGUACAUAUUCUUAUGGACUAUUUUCAUGCUUCAUUGGUUCAGAAGUCAACCAUGUUUACUUUUUAUGGCUGAUGUUUCGGUUGUGUUAUAUUGGUGUGAUCCAUUUAUUUUUAUCUAAUAUAAGGAGGAGCAAAAGAAGUUCCUGCAGUUUGUUUGCAUAUUUAUAUUUUUACUAGGCUUCAGUGAUUACUAAAAAUGAGUCAUCGACCGUGUUGUCGGGCACUGCACCACAAGUCAUGUUAGUUAUAUGUGGUCUUGUAAUAUUUAUUAAAUGUUCUCUUUACCCUUUUUAUUUUCUCGAAAGCAUGAACUUGAACAUAAAAUUUGAUGUUCCACAUUGUCUGCAAUAUUCAGUGUUCUUUCUAAUUACUGGAACGAAAUGAAGUGGUGUGGCUAAAACUCACCCUCUUCUUGGUUAUAGAAUAGCAGUAAAUUCAAGUAAAAAUGUUAUAGUUCAGCCUAUUGAUAUGAUGUUAGUUAGGUGAUGCUUCCUUUUUUCAUUUUAUCCAGUUGACAUAGUGAGCAUCUGCCAAUUUCGUCUUCGUCUCUUCAUAUUGGCUGUUGUUGUGUGUUACUCCAACUUGAUCACAUCUUACAAUUUAUUCUUCGUCUCUUCGUGUUGCUUGUUGCUAUGUGUUAGUCCACUUGAUUGCAUCUGCCAAUUUCGUUUUCGUCUCUUCAUGUUGGUUGUUGUUGUGUGUUAGUCCACUUGAUCGCAUCUGCCAAUUUCGUCUUCGUCCCUUCAUGUUGGUUGCUGCUGUGUGUUAGUCCACUUGACCUGUCAGUUAGUUGUCUACUAACCAUGUCUUGGUUCCUAAAAAUAAAAGUUUUUUCUCAUUUCUGUGAUUUUCAUUCAAAGGUUCAGAUACUCGAUUAUGCUUUCGAUUUCUUCUCUGAUUCAUAUAUUUCAGUGAAAAUAUUUUAGUGUUCUCUUUUCCAGUGACUUCUUAUAUAUUGUGUGUUUUCAGUUACCUUGCAUUUGUUGGCCCUCUCAUUAGUGCAUUCUUCCAUGGUUUAUGCCGUGGUGUUUUCAGUUACUUCACAUUGAGCAUGAUUUAUGAUAUGCUUCAUUUAUGUUAGGUUCAUACUUGCUUAGUUGAUAUCUCAGUGGCAAUUGGCUUCAUAACGAUGCUUGCUUAGUUUAUUUGCACUGGCAAUAGGAUUCAGAACGAACUAGAUUUUGCAGUUGCAUGAGUUAAGUAUUUUUUCUUAGUUUCUGUUGGCAUCAUGUAGUCGUACCUGACGUUGUUGUCACACUACUAAAGUAUAUUAUAUAUUUGUUGGCAUCAUCUACUUACAUCUUGCUUCAGCCAUGAAGUUGCUGCUAAAGCAUAUUAUAUUUUAUUGUACAAUGAAAUUAGAAAAUUUGUUUUUUUUGCUUGUUAAAUGAAAUCUUAUUCCUUGAUUUUUGUGUUUAACCCAUCAUGUCACUAUCCACUGAUGCGGGAGAGCUUGUGCCCGAGCUCUUCAAGUUGUUCCUUGCCUCUGCGGUCUUGCUGUGAGCACUCUUCAGGUUCUUACCGUUUAUGCUACUGAGCUUUGUCCACGUUCUAUAUAUCAAAGUGAAGGAAGUAACCUAAGCUUCUCAUGUACUCCCAAUUGUUUAGUGGACAAGAACUACUGGAGUAUAUAUAUGUAGACCUUAAACGUGGAGAAGCAAUGUGUUUUUCUCUGAACUUAUACCGCUACUUCACUAUGUGUAAUAUAUUUGUCUGCAUUUUAUAGGUCUGCUUGUUUUUGGACGAUUUAUCAUCGAUCCUUAUAGAUGCAUAAUAGUAUUUUCCCAAUUGUUUACCAA